RNAcentral lists this ribosomal RNA (518 nucleotides) under Planctomycetota bacterium. RNAcentral describes it as "Planctomycetes bacterium (marine metagenome) partial 23S ribosomal RNA". It matches the Rfam family "Bacterial large subunit ribosomal RNA", at positions 2397 to 2925 of the family's 2925-position model. The record is from RNAcentral. Lineage: Bacteria; Pseudomonadati; Planctomycetota.
GUGUGAAAGCAGGGCUUAGUGAUCCGGCGGUCCCGUGUGGAAGGGCCGUCGCUCAACGGAUAAAAGGUACUCCGGGGAUAACAGGCUGAUCUCCCCCAAGAGUUCGUAUCGACGGGGAGGUUUGGCACCUCGAUGUCGGCUCAUCGCAUCCUGGGGCUGGAGAAGGUCCCAAGGGUUUGGCUGUUCGCCAAUUAAAGCGGUACGCGAGCUGGGUUUAGACCGUCGUGAGACAGGUCGGUCCCUAUCUGUCGUGGGUGUACGAGAUUUGAGGAGAUCUUCCCCUAGUACGAGAGGAUUGGGGAGGACGGACCUCUGGUGUUCCUGUUGUCGUGUCAACGGCAUCGCAGGGUAGCUACGUCCGGGAAGGAUAAGCGCUGAAGGCAUAUAAGCGCGAAGCCCCCUUCAAAACUAGAUCUCGCAUGAGACUCCUGGAAGACCACCAGGUUGAUAGGCCGGGUGUGUAAGCACAGCAAUGUGUUCAGCUGACCGGUACUAAUAAGUCGAUCGGCUUGACCGCU